UUAAAGUUGUUGCAGUUAAAAAGCUCGUAGUUGAACUUCAGGCCCGACGGGGUGGUCUGCCUCACGGUAUGUACUAUCCGGUUGGGCCUUACCUCCUGGUGAGCCCGUAUGUCGUUUACUCGGUGUGCGGGGGAACCAGGAAUUUUACUUUGAAAAAAUUAGAGUGUUCAAAGCAGGCGUAUGCCCGAAUACAUUAGCAUGGAAUAAUA
Molecule: ribosomal RNA, 209 nt
Filed under: uncultured eukaryote
Lineage: Eukaryota
Description: partial 18S ribosomal RNA
Rfam family: Eukaryotic small subunit ribosomal RNA
Source: RNAcentral